Molecule: ribosomal RNA, 253 nt
Filed under: uncultured bacterium
Lineage: Bacteria
Description: partial 16S ribosomal RNA
Rfam family: Bacterial small subunit ribosomal RNA
Source: RNAcentral
UACAGAGGUCCCCAGCGUUGUUCGGAUUCAUUGGGCGUAAAGGGUGCGUAGGCGGCGGGGCAAGUCUGAUGUGAGAUCCUGGGGCUCAACCCUGGAACUGCAUUGGAUACUGCCUUGCUAGAGAACUGGAGAGGAGACUGGAAUUUACGGUGUAGCAGUGAAAUGCGCAGAUAUCGGGAAGAACACCCGUGGCGAAGGCGGCACUCUGGGACGGUACUGACGCUGAGACGCGAAAGCGUGGGGAGCGAACAGG